RNAcentral lists this ribosomal RNA (445 nucleotides) under uncultured bacterium. Its description in RNAcentral is "partial 16S ribosomal RNA". It matches the Rfam family "Bacterial small subunit ribosomal RNA", at positions 354 to 796 of the family's 1533-position model. The record is from RNAcentral.
GUAGGGAAUAUUGGGCAAUGGAUGCAAGUCUGACCCAGCCAUCCCGCGUGCCGGAAGAAGGCCCUCAGGGUUGUAAACGGCUUUUGACGGUGAAGAAUCGACAGGAUGCGUCCUGUUUUGACGGUAGCCGUUGAAUAAGCACCGGCUAACUCCGUGCCAGCAGUCGCGGUAAUACGGAGGGUGCGAGCGUUGUCCGGAUUUAUUGGGUUUAAAGGGUGCGUAGGCUGGAAGGUCAGUCAGCGGUGAAAAGCUGUCGCUUAACGAUAGUCUUGCCGCAGAUACUUCCUUUCUUGGAUGAGGAGGAGGCCACUGGAACGGAUGGUGUAGCGGUGAAAUGCAUAGAUAUCAUCCAGAACACCGAUUGCGAAGGCAGGUGGCUGUACCUUAAUCGACGCUGAUGCACGAAAGCAUGGGGAGCAAACAGGAUUAGAAACCCGGGUAGUCC